Long non-coding RNA from Nematostella vectensis (starlet sea anemone), 5024 nucleotides. RefSeq lists it as uncharacterized. Lineage: Eukaryota; Metazoa; Cnidaria; Anthozoa; Actiniaria; Edwardsiidae. The transcript has 2 exons. The record is from RefSeq and is a predicted model, not a curated record.
UCAGCGAUACUUAGGAAAGUCAGAUUCCAAUAAUCCACUGCGUCAUCAAGGUCAUCAAAGGUGUCCAGCACACUCCACGGGGCCUCAUCAAGGUCUUUUAGGAAGGCCUCCUCAUCCAGCUUCUUGCAGUCACGGUAGGAAAUAUAGACAUGGUUUUUAUCUGCUGCGCGAUCUUGUUUCUUUUUGUAUCUGCGCACAACGCACACUGGUAAAUGAUCUGGUAGUCCGAUGUUGCAUACCUUGGUCUCUGUGAUGCACUGUAGCUGGUUGGUGUAAACGUGAUCCAAGCAAGCCUGGCUCUCUGGACGAGUCACUUCAUUGAUGGUUUGAGUGAAACCAAGGCUGGUGAGGAACUUGAUUAGACGAUGCUUUUGGUUUUGCUGUUUGAGGAAGUUGAUGUUGAAAUCCCCCAGUAGUAGCUCUUCUUUGUUGGUGAUGUACAUUUUUUCUAUGAGACCUUCUAGCUUAGCAUCCAUUUCAGCAGUUGAAUCCGGCACACGAUAGACUCAGGCAAUAAUAAUUGGGCAGUUGGACUUGCACGGUAUCACUUGAGUGCAAAGGAGCUCUGUGUCACUUGAUUCUAGAGUUGGUAAACGGGUAUAAGCCAUAGCGUGAGGUACGUACAUCAUUACUCCUCCCCUUUCCUUUCUAGUUCUAUCUUUCCGCUCAAAAUGAUAUCCAGGGAUCCCAUAUUCUUCGUUCGUGUGUGAGGAAUUCAGCCAUGUCUCGGUAAUAAUCAUCACAUCAAUCUCCGUACGAGGGUGUGUAAGGAUUUCUUUUAUUUGCUCGUAUUUAUCAUUAUUGAAGCUCCUCGCGUUCCAAUGACAUAUUCUUACACCAUUUUUGGACAGUGGAAUGCAUGGCAGAUGGACGUUAGUAGCGUGAUUUGUAGCUUGUGGACCUGGAUUAAGCUGGACGUCAUUUGAAAGGCAGACCAGUAGUAGUGCAAUGGAGGCGCUUCUUAGUAAGUCUAAACAAACACGAGCCGGGGCAGUGGACGACGAUGGAGUAGAUUUGUGUAGUCGUCUGAAGUGAAAUUGCGGUGUAUCAUUUAUAAUAAGGGCAUUUGAAGCUUGGAGUAACACAGAGCUAUUGUCAUGACUGUCAUUUAUCCCUCGCAGCACCAAACACAGGAAUGUCAAAGUGAGGAGCUUCCGAUGCCAAAUCAUCAUUUAUCCCUCGCAGCACCAAACACAGGAAUGUCAUAGUGAGGAGCUUCCAAUGCCAAAUUAUCCUGAGCGCUCUCACUAAGAACAGCGCGUGCAGUCAGAAUUCAACGGUCAGCUCGAGGAUGGAGUCUGUUGUCGGUUGUCCCUGACGAAUCUGUGUUUGUCCGCGCUAACCAACGAAGACAAGCCGAAAGCUGCGCGAGCCGCGAAAAACUACAACUUUCAACGGAGAAACUUUUAAAAGAACUUGUGAAACUUCUCAAAUUCUUAAUCGUGUAAGUCCAGCCGCUUGCUUCUUGAGCACGAUGACCUUAUAAUGAAAUCCACAACUUUUCAGAUUUGGCCGUCAAUGGAAAGCGCAAAAAUAAAGCUGAUUUUCAGGAGCCGGUUUGCGCGUGACUGCCUUAUCUGAAGAGCGCGCCAGCGAAGAGUCAGCGGUGCAUGAUUCACCGCACGUUCGCAAUACUAAAGAGCUUCUACGAAUACUAUGGCGACUACUGGGAAUACUAUGGAGAAAACAAGGAAUUAUUUGGUAGGUAUGACUACUGUUAUCAGAUGUUUUAGGGGUUUUGCUCAUCACGCCUUUCGAAGAGUGUCAAUUGCUGCCUUUUAGAGCGUAGAAAAGGUCAUAAACAAACUGAGGAUCGAUCGAAUGAACUUACAGAACAACGAACACGUGCAGUUAAACUUACACCAGCACAUGAUACCUCACCAAAUGACCCCAAUUCGGUCUAAACAAAUCAACCCAAUGCCUACUAUGGCGGAUAACCAAACUAGUCCCUCGCCUCUGGGAAAGGCGAAAGGGAUACAAUCUGCCCAAACCUUAUUGCCUGAUGGCUGUAAGGCUUUGGUUACUAAUACAGCUAAGCAAAAUAACCCCAUUGUAAGCAAACAACUCAACCCCAAUGUGGGUAAACAAAUCAACCCCAUUGUGGGAAAACAAACUAACCCAAUGCCUAAAAUGGUGGGUAAACAAACUAACCCAAUGCCUAAAAUGGUGGGUAAACAAACUAACCCAACACCUAUUGCGUUUGGAGGAAAACUAGCCCCGUUGUGGGUAUCCAAACUAAUCCUGUCAUGGGUAUCCAAACUAACCCAAUGCCUAUUACGGCGGGUAAACAAUAAACUCAAGGUGGGUCAAACCACAAAUCAAUUCCCACAGGCGGGGAUGAACGAGUCUCAAUUUCUACUUGAUGCUGAAAGCUGCACUAGUAAUGACAUGACAACUUUGAAAGCCAUGACGAGUCCGGGUUGUUAUUGAAUACAAAAAUUCAUUAAUUUGAUACCCCUAAAGGAUAGCAGUAUCAGAAUAGCCAUUAAACACCCCCUGAGGGAUAGUAGUUGGGUGAAGUGUAUACCCUAAAAGAUGAUUAUCUACACCCCAUCUACAUUUUUGGAGAGUCAAACCCCAGGGGGUGGGGGUCAUGGCAGAAAUUAGUAAUGUACCCAAGACACCAGGAUUUACUUGGAAAUGGAUAUAAAAUAAAACUACUCCAAAGCUAGUUUGCAUCCCCUAUAUCCUUAAAUUUGAUACAAGUAUUGCUAAAAAAAAGUGCAUCCACGCAGGCUCCGCUUUUAGGCAGUACCUAAAUCUAUAUAUUACCUUUAAUUUAAAGACUUUCAAAAAAUGCCGCCGAGCCUAUUGAGGCCGAUUUUUUAAAACUGACUUUAAGCAAAUUGAGAAAAGCAUAGGGUUCUAGUUCCAUUUGAAGCUGAAAAUGGUUACAUGCGGUGCUCUGGUGAGGUUCAUUUCUUUACCUCUUUUCUGGCGCUUUUUGGUAUCCCAUUUUUAUAAAUAAAAAAAAUGAGAAUUAUGAAGUUUGUAGAACUGUUCACAACUUGUUGGAGUGUUCUAACGGGGUUUAACGUGGUCUAACGGGGUUUAACUCGGGUAGCGGAGUCUAGCGUGGAUUAACGAGGUCUAACGGGGUUGAGCGUUGUCUAACGAGGUUUAACAUGGUCUAACGGGAUUUAACGUAGUCUAACGGGGUGUUUAACGUUGUCUAACGUGACGCGGGUUAAACGUGUGCUAAUGGGGUGUAACUUUGUCUAACGAGGCUUACCGUGGUCUAACGGGGUUAAACGUGGUCUAAAGGAGUUUAACUUGGCCUAACUGGGUAUAACGUUGUCUAACGUGGCUUAACGUACGGGGUUCAACGUGGUCUAACGGGGUUUAACGUUGUUAACGUGGCUUAACAUGGCUUAACGGGGGCUAACGUUGUCUAACGGGGUUUAACAGGGUAUAAAGGGGUUUAACUUGGCCUAACUGGGUUUAAUGUUGUCUGACGAGGCUUAACGUGGUCUAACGGGGUUUAACGUUGUCUAACGUGGCUUAACGUGGGUAAACGGAGUCUAACGGGGGCAAACGUUGUCUAACGGGGUUUAACAUGGUCUAACGGGGUUAAACGUGGUAUAGCGUAGCUUAACGUGGGUUUACACUGUUAGUUUCAGGGAGUUAUUUUUACUCCACUCGGAGAGUAAAAACUACUCUUUGCGGUGAAGUACUUUUAAAGGAGUAAUUUGAACUCCUUUAUUGGAGUAAAAACUACUCCACUGAGGAGUAAUUUUUUUGUUUACUCCCUUAACGGAGUAAGUUUUACUCUGCUGAGAAUUAGUAUCGAAUGUUUAUUAAAAAAAAGAGUAAUUUUCACUCUUGUUGGUCAAAUAAUGGAGUAAAAAGUACUCUUUUCUGGGAGUAAUUUUAGCAGAGUGAAAACUACUCCAACUAUCUGAAGUGAAAAGAGUUAUUUUUACUCCAGAUGGUCAAGAAAUGGAGUAAAAAAGUACACCUUUUUAGGGGGUAGGUUUUGAAGAGUAAAAACUACUCCAGCCAUCUCGUGUUGAAAGAGUAGUUUUUACUCCAGCUGUAUCUUUUUAGAGCAGUAACAAACCACUCCAAAUAUAUAAAAUAAAGGGAGUUGUUUUUUUACUCUGAAUUAGCUGAAUUUAAGAAGGAAAACGAUAGUCUUUAUUAUAUAAGACAAAAGAUAAAAAUAAUAAUUUAUCGUAUCUAUUGGUAUUGAGACAAAAAACUCUACCCUGUGCCUAGGAGUUUCCUAAGAUUUCCUAAGUUCGAUCAAAACAACAAAAUAUGAUUAAACUUCCUACAAAUUCCUAGGAUUUCCUAGUAUAAGCAGUAGACCAGAAAAUGGAAAUAAUUUGGAUAAGAAAAUCUUAGGAAGAAGAUUUGAAGUUCUACAAUUUAGGAACUCUUAGGAAAUCCUAAAAGAACAUUUUCAAUACAAGAACAGGCCUCACCAUACUUGCAUAUAUUGUCAGCUAUACUACAACAAUAAGAAAUGUAAUCAAAGACAGGCUUGGACUCGAACAUAAGUUUUAUGUGGUGUACUUUCAAAAUUCGCUCAGAAUAAUUAGUACUGCAUUUAAAAGAAAGAUAGGUAGGGUGAUAAUUGUAUAAAAUUCUUAGAUCCGAUUUGAACAUUAUAAAAUCAUAUAUAUUGUUUCUAAUAGAAAUGCUACUUGAGAUUAUAAAAAAAAGAAGUCCCGCUUUGCAGAUAGAAGACGGCUCACCAGGGCUCGUAAAACCAAAAUGUACCGGGCGUCCCUCGCUUUAGUGACCGAGAGGGGCUUGGGCCCAAGGCGCAAAAUCAUAACGGUCGAACGGAAGCCAUUAUCAUAACCUCCAAACAGAUAGCCGUUUAUUCCCGUCUUUUCUACGCGUAAUCCACCUUUUUUGAGGAUUUGAUGGCAGAACAUGGAUUGAAGUUAAAGGACAUUAUGAUAGAGAUAGUAAAAUGUGCUCGAGUUGAAAGCCAGAAAAGAAAGAAGUUUGAGGUAUAAGGAAUGUAUCAAUGCGUAAAUCGCAAGAAACGAAUAAAAACUUUGUAAACUUAA